This 64-nucleotide transfer RNA is filed under the name Panax ginseng (ginseng). Its description in RNAcentral is "tRNA-Gln". It matches the Rfam family "tRNA". From Rfam's summary of the family: Transfer RNA (tRNA) molecules are approximately 80 nucleotides in length. Their secondary structure includes four short double-helical elements and three loops (D, anti-codon, and T loops). Further hydrogen bonds mediate the characteristic L-shaped molecular structure. tRNAs have two regions of fundamental functional importance: the anti-codon, which is responsible for specific mRNA codon recognition, and the 3' end, to which the tRNAs corresponding amino acid is attached (by aminoacyl-tRNA synthetases). tRNAs cope with the degeneracy of the genetic code in two manners: having more than one tRNA (with a specific anti-codon) for a particular amino acid; and 'wobble' base-pairing, i.e. permitting non-standard base-pairing at the 3rd anti-codon position. Lineage: Eukaryota; Viridiplantae; Streptophyta; Magnoliopsida; Apiales; Araliaceae. The record is from RNAcentral.
UGGAGUAUAGCCAAGUGGUAAGGCACCGGUUUUUGGUACCGAGGUUCGAAUCCUUUUACUCCAG